Molecule: ribosomal RNA, 905 nt
Filed under: uncultured bacterium
Lineage: Bacteria
Description: bacterial SSU rRNA
Rfam family: Bacterial small subunit ribosomal RNA
Source: RNAcentral
UCAGAACGAACGCGGGCGGCGUGCCUAACACAUGCAAGUCGAACGGAAUUAAGGGGCUUGCUCCUUAAUUUAGUGGCGCACGGGUGAGUAACGCGUGGAUAAUCUGCCUGACGAUCUGGGAUAACAUCUCGAAAGGGGUGCUAAUACCGGAUAAGCCCACGGGAACUUCGGUUCUUGCGGGAAAAGGGGGGGACCUUCGGGCCUUCUGUCGUCGGAUGAGUCCGCGUACCAUUAGCUAGUUGGUAGGGUAAUGGCCUACCAAGGCUACGAUGGUUAGCUGGUCUGAGAGGAUGAUCAGCCACACUGGAACUGAGACACGGUCCAGACUCCUACGGGAGGCAGCAGUGGGGAAUUUUGCGCAAUGGGCGAAAGCCUGACGCAGCAACGCCGCGUGAGUGAUGAAGGCUUUCGGGUCGUAAAGCUCUGUCAAGGGGAAAGAAGUGUAUUGUGGUUAAUACCCAUGAUACUUGACGGUACCCCUAAAGGAAGCACCGGCUAACUCCGUGCCAGCAGCCGCGGUAAUACGGAGGGUGCGAGCGUUGUUCGGAAUUAUUGGGCGUAAAGCGCGUGUAGGCGGUUUGUUAAGUCUGAUGUGAAAGCCCCGGGCUCAACCUGGGAAGUGCAUUGGAUACUGGCAGACUUGAAUACGGGAGAGGGUAGUGGAAUUCCUGGUGUAGGAGUGAAAUCCGUAGAUAUCAGGAGGAACACCGGUGGCGAAGGCGGCUGCCUGGACCGAUAUUGACGCUGAGACGCGAAAGCGUGGGUAGCAAACAGGAUUAGAUACCCUGGUAGUCCACGCCGUAAACGAUGAGUACUAGGUGUUGCGGGUAUUGACCCCUGCAGUGCCGCAGCUAACGCAUUAAGUACUCCGCCUGGGAAGUACGGUCGCAAGACUAAAACUCAAU